UACGGAGGGAGCUAGCGUUGUUCGGAAUUACUGGGCGUAAAGCGCGCGUAGGCGGCUUUGUAAGUUAGCGGUGAAAGCCCGGGGCUCAACCCCGGAACUGCCUUUAAGACUGCAUCGCUUGAAUCCGGGAGAGGUGAGUGGAAUUCCGAGUGUAGAGGUGAAAUUCGUAGAUAUUCGGAAGAACACCAGUGGCGAAGGCGGCUCACUGGACCGGUAUUGACGCUGAUGUGCGAAAGCGUGGGGAGCAAACAGG
This 253-nucleotide ribosomal RNA is filed under the name uncultured bacterium. RNAcentral's name for it is "partial 16S ribosomal RNA". It matches the Rfam family "Bacterial small subunit ribosomal RNA", at positions 524 to 776 of the family's 1533-position model. The record is from RNAcentral.